AGAGUUUGAUCCUGGCUCAGAACGAACGCNNGGCGGCGUGGAUAAGACAUGCAAGUCGAGCGCUGAUUACAGGGUAGCAAUAUUCUGUGGUCGGAGCGGCGCAAGGGUGCGUAACACGUGGGUAAUCUGCCAUGAAGUUUGGGAUAACUUGCUGAAAGGCGAGCUAAUACCGGAUGUGACAACCAGGAGGCAUCUUUUGGUUGUUGAAGUUGGGGACCGUAAGGCCUGACGCUUCAUGAUGAGCCCGCGGCCUAUCAGCUAGUUGGUGAGGUAACGGCUCACCAAGGCUAAGACGGGUAGCUGGUCUGAGAGGACGACCAGCCACACUGGAACUGAGACACGGUCCAGACACCUACGGGUGGCAGCAGUCGAGAAUUUUUCACAAUGGGCGCAAGCCUGAUGGAGCGACGCCGCGUGGGGGAUGAAUGGCUUCGGCCCGUAAACCCCUGUCAUUUGCGAUCAACCCUCAUUAUUUAAAAGAUGAUGAGCUGAUAGUAGCGAAAGAGGAAGGGACGGCUAACUCUGUGCCAGCAGCCGCGGUAAUACAGAGGUCCCGAGCGUUGUUCGGAUUCACUGGGCGUAAAGGGUGCGUAGGUGGUGGGGUAAGUCGGAUGUGAAAUCUCGGAGCUCAACUCCGAAAUGGCAUUGGAAACUACCCUGCUAGAGGAUCGGAGGGGGGACUGGAAUACUUGGUGUAGCAGUGAAAUGCGUAGAUAUCAAGUGGAACACCAGUGGCGAAGGCGAGUCCCUGGACGAUACCUGACACUGAGGCACGAAAGCUAGGGGAGCAAACAGGAUUAGAUACCCUAGUAGUCC
This 816-nucleotide ribosomal RNA is filed under the name uncultured bacterium. Its description in RNAcentral is "bacterial SSU rRNA". It matches the Rfam family "Bacterial small subunit ribosomal RNA", at positions 8 to 796 of the family's 1533-position model. The record is from RNAcentral.